CAGCCGCCGCGGGAAUACGGAGGGUGCAAGCGUUAUCCGGAUUCACUGGGUUUAAAGGGUGCGUAGGCGGAUCUGUAAAUCAGUGGUGAAAUCUCCAGGCUUAACCUGGAAACUGCCGUUGAUACUAUAGGUCUUGAAUUUUGUGGAGGUUAGCGGAAUAUGUCAUGUAGCGGUGAAAUGCAUAGAUAUGACAUAGAACACCAAUUGCGAAGGCAGCUGGCUACACAACUAUUGACGCUGAGGCACGAAAGCGUGGGGAUCAAACAGGAUUAGAGACCCCGGUAGUCCCUGUCUCUUAUAC
This 301-nucleotide ribosomal RNA is filed under the name uncultured bacterium. RNAcentral's name for it is "partial 16S ribosomal RNA". It matches the Rfam family "Bacterial small subunit ribosomal RNA", at positions 509 to 807 of the family's 1533-position model. The record is from RNAcentral.